RNAcentral lists this transfer RNA (68 nucleotides) under Amblema plicata. RNAcentral describes it as "Amblema perplicata tRNA-Glu". Lineage: Eukaryota; Metazoa; Mollusca; Bivalvia; Unionida; Unionidae. The record is from RNAcentral.
GCCGACUAAGUGUUAUUAUUUGCACAUUGACCUUUCACGUCAAAAGAGCACACCAAAUGCAUUCGACU